CGCGGUAUUUUGACUGUGCGAAGGUAGCAUAAUCAUUUGUCUUUUAAUUGAAGACUUGUAUGAAUGGCUGAACGAGAAAAUAACUGUCUCUUUAAAAAAUCUUGAAUUUUACUUUUAAGUGAAAAGGCUUAAAUAAUUUUAAGGGACGAUAAGACCCUAUAAAUCUUUAUAUUAUUUUUCUUUAACUUUUAAAUUAUAUAUUAAAAGAAGAAAAGAAAAAAAUAUUAUAUUGGGGAGAUAAAAAUAUAAUUUUUAACUGUUUUAAACAUAAAACAAUAAUUUUUGAUUUAUUAAAAAUGAUCCUUUUUAAAGAUUUUAAGAUUAAGUUACUUUAGGGAUAACAGCGUAAUUUUUUUUGAGAGUUCUUAUCGAAAAAAAAGUUUGCGACCUCGAUGUUGAAUUAAAAUAUCCUUAUAAGUGUAGAAGCUAUAAAGGAAAGUCUGUUCGACUUUUAAAAUUUUACAU
This 465-nucleotide ribosomal RNA is filed under the name Aegla jarai. RNAcentral's name for it is "partial 16S large subunit ribosomal RNA". It matches the Rfam family "Bacterial large subunit ribosomal RNA", at positions 1932 to 2601 of the family's 2925-position model. The record is from RNAcentral. Lineage: Eukaryota; Metazoa; Arthropoda; Malacostraca; Decapoda; Aeglidae.